Molecule: long non-coding RNA, 924 nt
Filed under: Ananas comosus (pineapple)
Lineage: Eukaryota; Viridiplantae; Streptophyta; Magnoliopsida; Poales; Bromeliaceae
Description: long non-coding RNA (ACOM_LNC005013)
Source: RNAcentral
UACUAUGCUAUCGGAAGCAUAGAGCAUUUGAUGCUUCCGAUAUUUUGACCCUUAGAUUAAGAAUUAUACGGUUGGGAUGAUUGCAGUCCCUCCAGGGUUGAGUAGUACCUCUAGGGUUGAAUGGUCCCCACAGGAUAAUAAUAUUAAUCUAAAGGUUAAAAAUGAUUAAAGGGGUUGAUCUAACGGCUAAAAAAUUGGAAACAUCAGAUUCUCUAUGCUUCCGAUAGUAUAGUAGUUCUACUCUCUCUCUCUCUCUCUCUAUAUAUAUAUAAAAGUGAAUAGUGUUUGAUCCAAAAGAUAUUAGUAAUUAUGGAGUUGAUCCAAAGGUUAGAAACUUAGAAGCACCAAGUGGAUGGUGCUUCUAAAAGUAUCAUAGCUCAACUCUAGUGGAGCUAGAAUACUCCCAAAAGCACUAAAUGGGUGGUGCUUUAGAAUUUUUAGCCCUUGGAUGGAGAGAUGUGAGGUUGAGAUGAUGGUGGUAGGUGGUGGUAGGUGGUGGUAGGUGAUGGUAGGUGGAAUAGUGGUGGUAGAUGGUGGUAGGUGGUGGUAGGUGGAAUAGUGUUUGAUCCAAGAGAUAUUAGUAAUUGUGGAGUGGAUCCAAAGGUUAGAAACUUAGAAGCACCAAGUGGAUGGUGCUUCUAAAAGUAUCAUAGCUCAACUCAUAUAUAACUAGGCUGGAAUACUAUCAAUAGCACCAAUGACUUGGUGCUAUUAGGUUUUCUGCCCUUGGAUUAAAAGAUGUGUGGUUAGAAUGAUGUGGGGCCCCUAGGGUUGAGUGGGUGGUUAGUUGAAUAGUAUAAUCGAACGAUUAAAAAUGAUAAAAGAGGUAAAUCUAACGGCAUAAAAUUUGAUAGCACCAAAUGCUUCGUGCUAUCGAUAGUAUCCCAACCGGACUCUCUCUCUCUCUCUCUCUCUCUCUCUCUC